GGGGGCGUAGCUCAGAGGGAGAGCGCCUGCUUUGCAAGCAGGGGGUCGUCGGUUCGAGUCCGACCGUCUCCA
This 72-nucleotide transfer RNA is filed under the name Roseomonas acroporae. It matches the Rfam family "tRNA". From Rfam's summary of the family: Transfer RNA (tRNA) molecules are approximately 80 nucleotides in length. Their secondary structure includes four short double-helical elements and three loops (D, anti-codon, and T loops). Lineage: Bacteria; Pseudomonadati; Pseudomonadota; Alphaproteobacteria; Acetobacterales; Roseomonadaceae. The record is from Rfam by way of RNAcentral.